CCCCCCCGUAGACUAUUUUCCCAAAACUGAUCAUCCACACGAAUGUAAUGAAAACGCUUGCAUAACACAAGACACUUUCACCUGUGGUGUUUUUUUACUUGCCGUCUCUUUGAAUUGAUGCGGGAAAAACCGAAUAGCAAUUGCAAGUGAACAUUCCGUCCAUUUGGACCAAUACGUCCAUCUACAACAGCGCUAUCAAACUGGAUAGCAGCAGGCACAAUUGCAGUACAUCAACAACCAUCUUGUUUUUGAGUUGAAUGGGUCACAUGACUAAAAAUGUGAUUGCUUGUUUGUUUUUAAAUAUCUCCAUUUUCACGGUUCACACUACAACUCAAAAACGGCAUUUUCAAAUUUGUCCACUUGGGAGAGUGUUUCUGUUUUCGUCGGAUAAAAAUGUAUUUUACGCUACAUUUUUGGUGUACUCUCACAUAUAACAUUUAGUCAUGCUGUUUGUUGCAGAAUAACUGAUUUUGGUGUGUGUGUGUGUGUGGGUUUGUUUUCUGCAGCCACAGCACCUGUUAGGAGGCCCUUUUGAACCAGUGUCUGCUUCAGUGAUGUUUUGACCCCAUGAGCCACACCAGUGUCACUGAGCCGUCUGAACUCUGACUGAUGAGGUCACCUGACAAGCCUGGGUUUUGCUGCAGCGUAAAGCAGGGACUUUGAAAUCUCUGACUUUCAUCUGUGUCUGUAUUGUAGAGCACAUAUAUAAUACAGUAUAUAUACAGUAUACUGGGUGUUUUUUGGGAACUGCAUGAUAAGCAUCAGUGGGAGGGCAGAGGACUUUGGAAACAGGGCCAAAUGUGACAGGGCUAUUAAUAUCUAUUUUCUUAGAGGGGGAACUACAUCAUGUAUGAGCAGGAUUUCUGCGAACUGUAAAAUGCUGACGGUGCUCAGUUGUACAUCCCCAGGAUUUCUUUUUAACAUUUUAUGUUUGAUAUCUACUUUUAAAGUGAUAAUAGCCAUUACGGAGGUUGGAAGCCUGGACCAUCUAACUUUUGCUUUUCUUCUGUUUUUUUUAAGACUACAGUAUGUAUUGCGCCCCCCCCCCCCCCCCCCCCCCCUUACUCAUAAUAGUAUAUUUAUUAAAAUGUUUAAUUACAAAGAUGGAUGCAUAUUGAAUUUUUAUGUUCCAUUGGCCUUUUUGCUUUUUGUGACAGUAUGCAUUGUUUCUGAAAUGGAGCAUUAAUGACGCCUUAAAUGAUUACAGUUUCAAACUUGUGUGUGGA
This is a long non-coding RNA of Ictalurus punctatus (channel catfish), 1226 nucleotides long. The record is from Ensembl. NCBI's taxonomy places the organism in Eukaryota, Metazoa, Chordata, Actinopteri, Siluriformes, Ictaluridae.